This 497-nucleotide ribosomal RNA is filed under the name uncultured bacterium. RNAcentral's name for it is "partial 16S ribosomal RNA". It matches the Rfam family "Bacterial small subunit ribosomal RNA", at positions 28 to 507 of the family's 1533-position model. The record is from RNAcentral.
GACGAACGCUGGCGGCGUGCCUAAUACAUGCAAGUUGAGCGCUGAAGGUUGGUACUUGUACCGACUGGAUGAGCAGCGAACGGGUGAGUAACGCGUGGGGAAUCUGCCUUUGAGCGGGGGACAACAUUUGGAAACGAAUGCUAAUACCGCAUAAAAACUUUAAACACAAGUUUUAAGUUUGAAAGAUGCAAUUGCAUCACUCAAAGAUGAUCCCGCGUUGUAUUAGCUAGUUGGCGAGGUAAAGGCUCACCAAGGCGAUGAUACAUAGCCGACCUGAGAGGGUGAUCGGCCACAUUGGGACUGAGACACGGCCCAAACUCCUACGGGAGGCAGCAGUAGGGAAUCUUCGGCAAGAGACGAAAGUCUGACCGAGCAACGCCGCGUGAGUGAAGAAGGUUUUCGGAUCGUAAAACUCUGUUGGUAGAGAAGAACGUUGGUGAGAGUGGAAAGCUCAUCAAGUGACGGUAACUACCCAGAAAGGGACGGCUAACUACGUG